AGAUCGACCGUGUUCCAUUCGCUCCGCUGACUUCGAAUAAUAGAUGGUUGAUCUUU
This 56-nucleotide microRNA precursor is filed under the name Oryctolagus cuniculus (rabbit). Its description in RNAcentral is "microRNA ocu-mir-369 precursor". Its record names the gene ocu-mir-369. The record is from miRBase by way of RNAcentral. Lineage: Eukaryota; Metazoa; Chordata; Mammalia; Lagomorpha; Leporidae.